Molecule: small RNA, 86 nt
Filed under: Vulpes vulpes (red fox)
Lineage: Eukaryota; Metazoa; Chordata; Mammalia; Carnivora; Canidae
Description: Deleted in lymphocytic leukemia 2 conserved region 6 (ENSVVUG00000004221.1)
Source: RNAcentral
UUUUCACUGAGGUCUUGGUGGCACUAUUCUCCCAGGUAGGUUACUGAGAUUCUCUCCCUCUGUCUCAGUUAAUGAGAUUAAGCAUU